AGAGUUUGAUCAUGGCUCAGGACGAACGCUGGCGGCGUGCUUAACACAUGCAAGUCAAGGGGGCCCAGCAAUGGGCAACCGGCGAACGGGUGCGUAACACGUGAGCAACCUACCGAACUGUGGGGGAUAGCCGGCCUAACGGCCGAGUAAUACCGCAUACGCUUUCAGUGAGGCAUUUCAUUGAAAGGAAACCUACGGGACAGAUCGAGGGGCUCGCGGCCUAUCAGCUAGUUGGCGAGGUAACGGCUCACCAAGGCGACGACGGGUAGCUGGUCUGAGAGGAUGGCCAGCCACAUUGGGACUGAGAUACGGCCCAGACUCCUACGGGAGGCAGCAGUGGGGAAUCUUGCGCAAUGGCCUAACGGCUGACGCAGCGACGCCGCGUGUGGGAUGAAGCUCCUCGGAGUGUAAACCACUGUUGCCCGGGACGAAUAGCUCGAUUAAUCGAGCCUGACGGUACCGGGUGAGGAAGCACCGGCUAACUCCGUGCCAGCAGCCGCGGUAAUACGGGGGGUGCGAGCGUUGUCCGGAAUCACUGGGCGUAAAGGGCGCGUAGGUGGUUUGAUAAGGGUGUGGUGAAAGUCCGGGGCUCAACCCCGGAUCUGCCGUGCCGACUGUCAAACUCGAGGGCUGUAGAGGCAGACGGAAUUCCGGGUGUAGCGGUGGAAUGCGUAGAGAUCCGGAGGAAGACCGGUGGCGAAGGCGGUCUGCUGGGCAGUUUCUGACACUGAUGCGCGACAGCGUGGGGAGCAAACAGGAUUAGAUACCCUAGUAGUCC
This 778-nucleotide ribosomal RNA is filed under the name uncultured bacterium. RNAcentral describes it as "bacterial SSU rRNA". It matches the Rfam family "Bacterial small subunit ribosomal RNA", at positions 8 to 796 of the family's 1533-position model. The record is from RNAcentral.